GAGGAAUAUUGGGCAAUGCCCGAAAGGGUGACCCAGCAACGCCGCGUGGAGGAUGAAGGUCGUAAGAUUGUAAACUCCUGUUAGAGGGGAAGAAUAACUAAGUUUGGAGCUUAGUAUGACUGUACCCUCAGAGAAAGCCCCGGCUAACUACGUGCCAGCAGCCGCGGUAAUACGUAGGGGGCAAGCGUUGUCCGGAUUUACUGGGUGUAAAGGGCGCGCAGGCGGAAUGGAAAGUCAGUGGUGAAAUCCUACAGCUUAACUGUAGAACUGCCUUUGAUACUUUCAUUCUUGAGUUCGGGAGAGAGAGACGGAAUUCCAGGUGUAGUGGUGAAAUACGUAGAUAUCUGGAAGAACACCAGUUGCGAAGGCGGUCUCUUGGUCCGUUACUGACGCUGAGGCGCGAAAGCGUGGGAGCAAACA
This 420-nucleotide ribosomal RNA is filed under the name uncultured bacterium. Its description in RNAcentral is "bacterial SSU rRNA". It matches the Rfam family "Bacterial small subunit ribosomal RNA", at positions 356 to 774 of the family's 1533-position model. The record is from RNAcentral.